RNAcentral lists this ribosomal RNA (465 nucleotides) under uncultured bacterium. RNAcentral describes it as "partial 16S ribosomal RNA". It matches the Rfam family "Bacterial small subunit ribosomal RNA", at positions 28 to 507 of the family's 1533-position model. The record is from RNAcentral.
GACGAACGCUGGCGGCGUGCUUAACACAUGCAAGUCGAACGCUGAACCCGCUUCGGUGGGGGAUGAGUGGCGAACGGGUGAGUAACACGUGGGCAACCUGCCCCCGGCUCUGGGAUAACUCCAAGAAAUUGGGGCUAAUACCGGAUGUGACCGCUGGCCGCAUGGUCUGGUGGUGGAAAGGGUUUCCGGCUGGGGAUGGGCCCGCGGCCUAUCAGCUUGUUGGUGGGGUAGUGGCCUACCAAGGCGACGACGGGUAGCCGGCCUGAGAGGGUGACCGGCCACACUGGGACUGAGACACGGACCAGACUCGUACGGGAGGCAGCAGUGGGGAAUAUUGCGCAAUGGGCGGAAGCCUGACGCAGCGACGCCGCGUGGGGGAUGACGGCCUUCGGGUUGUAAACCUCUUUCAGCAGGGACGAAGCGCAAGUGACGGUACCUGCAGAAGAAGCACCGGCCAACUACGUG